GGGGUCCAUCUGUCCGGCUUCAAACUCUUCCUCCUCCUUCUUCUCCUGCAGCAGUUGGUUGCUGUCUUUUCAAACUUUUCGGACCUGCUGCCUCUUUUGUUGCGGUUCUGUUGGCCGUGAAAUCGGCUUUUAAUGGGAACACAAUGGCCGCGUGCAGAGUCGACCCGCUGUAUUCAAAUGUGACCGCACGCCAUUAUCACUGCAUUUCCAGCUCUAAAUAAACACUCAUUUAACAGCCAUUCAUCUCUUUCAUCUCACAUCUUUAUGAAUUUGUAUAUUAGUCAUUGUACAUUUUUGAACUGUUUCCACACUCCAGCUAACUGCAAUGAAACAGCCAUUUAAAAAUCUGACUUUUAUGAUUUUGUCCAUGUGAUACAAUUCUUUAUUUACUUACAAUAAACCAAAACACCUCACAAUGUGACAGGUAAAAUUACACCUAAGGUUGUUUGACUUUUUAAGGGAUCGAUUAUCACUCGAUUACACCAAAAAGAAAGUAAGAAAAAAGAAGCUAACGCAAUUGUUUAACCAAUGCUGUCAUGCUUUUAAACAAUAAAGGAUAUUGAAUUAAUGUACA
This is a long non-coding RNA of Perca fluviatilis (European perch), 574 nucleotides long. RefSeq lists it as uncharacterized. NCBI's taxonomy places the organism in Eukaryota, Metazoa, Chordata, Actinopteri, Perciformes, Percidae. The record is from RefSeq and is a predicted model, not a curated record. The transcript has 2 exons.